RNAcentral lists this ribosomal RNA (253 nucleotides) under uncultured bacterium. Its description in RNAcentral is "partial 16S ribosomal RNA". It matches the Rfam family "Bacterial small subunit ribosomal RNA", at positions 524 to 776 of the family's 1533-position model. The record is from RNAcentral.
UACAGAGGUCUCAAGCGUUGUUCGGAUUCAUUGGGCGUAAAGGGUGCGUAGGCGGCGCGGUAAGUCGGGUGUGAAAUUUCGAGGCUUAACUUCGAAACUGCAUUCGAUACUGCCGUGCUUGAGGACUGGAGAGGAGACUGGAAUUUACGGUGUAGCGGUGAAAUGCGUAGAGAUGUGGAGGAACACCAGUGGCGAAGGCGACUCUCUGGUCUGUAACUGACGCUGAGGCGCGAAAGCGUGGGGAGCAAACAGG